AUCAGGGACCAAACCACCUUGGCGAUUAGGUCAACACUUAACCUAAUCGGGUCAAACCCAACUGAAUCCAAUUCAAUUGGACUUGAUCCAAAAAUAAUUACUCAAUCAAAUUGAGUUAAUUAGUGAUCAAAUUACUAAUUAAAUCUCUCAUAAAUAUUGAGUCCAAAUUCGAUGGGCAAUCAGGUAUCAGAUUCCAUCGAUAUGAAACCCUAAUCAAAAAGUCUCAAACCAGUGGGACUCUUGACCCCGGUACCCAAAAUGUGUGAAACUCAUGAUUAGAGAAUCCUGAUUCUCGAUCACAAAAUUUUAGACAUGUAGGACUCAAAGUCUACGAGCAUUAAGACUCUUCAUCAGCCAUCAGAUCAGAUAGGAACCUCUAAUGUGUGUGACCCCGCAGGUUCGAACCUAAGCUGGUAGCACAGGAACUAAUUUCUGUACUAAUCGAAGUGACCAUCUAGCAAUGGUACCCGAUAUCCGGA
This 479-nucleotide long non-coding RNA is filed under the name Elaeis guineensis (African oil palm). RNAcentral's name for it is "long non-coding RNA (EGUI_LNC040661)". The record is from RNAcentral. Lineage: Eukaryota; Viridiplantae; Streptophyta; Magnoliopsida; Arecales; Arecaceae.